RNAcentral lists this ribosomal RNA (408 nucleotides) under uncultured bacterium. Its description in RNAcentral is "bacterial SSU rRNA". It matches the Rfam family "Bacterial small subunit ribosomal RNA", at positions 29 to 426 of the family's 1533-position model. The record is from RNAcentral.
AACGAACGCUGGCGGCGCGCCUAAUACAUGCAAGUCGAGCGAGAAGACGUAGCAAUACGUUUGUAAAGCGGCGAACAGGUGAGGAAUACAUGGGUAACCUACCCUCGAGUGGGGAAUAACUAGCCGAAAGGUUAGCUAAUACCGCGUACGCUCCUUGGACUUCGGUUCAGGGAGGAAAGCGAUACCAUGGGUAUCGCGCUCUUGGAUGGGCUCAUGUCCUAUCAGCUUGUUGGUGAGGUAACGGCUCACCAAGGCUUCGACGGGUAGCUGGUCUGAGAGGACGAUCAGCCACACUGGCACUGCGACACGGGCCAGACUCCUACGGGAGGCAGCAGUAAGGAAUAUUGCGCAAUGGGCGAAAGCCUGACGCAGCGACGCCGCGUGGGGGAGUGAAGGUCUUCGGAUUGU